ACAGCACCACUGGAAUCUGAAGGUCUUUAUUUAACUAGAGGAUAGAUACAGCAUAGGCAGAAACAGUGCAAGCUUCUUUUAUGGUCUCAUGCCAAUGUGCCUCAGUGGUAAACUGGGGACCACCAGAGCUCUACGAUUCAAGUAGUUCAUCCUCCAUAACAGAUACAGUGCUUGC
Molecule: small RNA, 175 nt
Filed under: Chelonoidis abingdonii (Abingdon island giant tortoise)
Lineage: Eukaryota; Metazoa; Chordata; Testudines; Testudinidae
Description: TUC338 (ENSCABG00000011096.1)
Source: RNAcentral